UGACGCUGAAGGCGAAAGCUAGGGGAGCAAACGGGAUUAGAAACCCCGGUAGUCCUAGCCGUAAACGAUGGAUGCUAGGUGUGGGGGGUGUAGAUUCCCUCCGUGCCGCAGUUAACGCGUUAAGCAUCCCGCCUGGGGAGUACGGCCGCAAGGCUAAAACUCAAACGAAUUGACGGGGGCCCGCACAAGCAGCGGAGCGUGUGGUUUAAUUCGAUGCUACACGAAGAACCUUACCUGGGCUUGACAUACAGGUAGUAGUGAAGUGAAAGCGGAUCGACCCUUCGGGGAGCCUGUACAGGUGCUGCAUGGCUGUCGUCAGCUCGUGCCGUGAGGUGUCGGGUUAAGUCCCGUAACGAGCGCAACCCUUGCUCUUAGUUAUACGUGUCUAAGAGGACUGCCGGCGGUAAGCCGGAGGAAGGUGGGGAUGACGUCAAGUCAGCAUGGCCUUUAUGUCCAGGGCUACACACACGCUACAAUGGCCGGUACAAUGGGUAGCUAAACCGCGAGGUGGAGCCAAUCCUGUAAAGCCGGUCUCAGUUCGAAUUGCAGGCUGCAACUCGCCUGCAUGAAGUCGGAGUUGCUAGUAAUCGCAGGUCAGCAAUACUGCGGUGAAUACGUUCCCGGGCCUUGUACACACCGCCCGUCACGUCAUGGAAGCUGGCAACACCUGAAGCCGGUGAGCUAACCCGAAAGGGGGGCAACUGUCGAAGGUGAGGCUGGUGACUGGGACGAAGUCGUAACAAGGUAACC
This 750-nucleotide ribosomal RNA is filed under the name uncultured organism. Its description in RNAcentral is "bacterial SSU rRNA". It matches the Rfam family "Bacterial small subunit ribosomal RNA", at positions 741 to 1501 of the family's 1533-position model. The record is from RNAcentral.